This 262-nucleotide ribosomal RNA is filed under the name uncultured bacterium. RNAcentral describes it as "partial 16S ribosomal RNA". It matches the Rfam family "Bacterial small subunit ribosomal RNA", at positions 516 to 776 of the family's 1533-position model. The record is from RNAcentral.
GGCGGUAAUACGGAGGGGGCUAGCGUUGUUCGGAAUUACUGGGCGUAAAGGGCGCGUAGGCGGUUCGGUAAGUUAGGCGUGAAAGGCCCGGGCUCAACCCGGGAACAGCGCUUAAGACUGCUGGGCUGUGAGUCCGAGAGAGGAUGGCGGAAUUCCCAGUGUAGAGGUGAAAUUCGUAGAUAUUGGGAAGAACACCAGUGGCGAAGGCGGCCAUCUGGCUCGGUACUGACGCUGAGGCGCGAAAGCGUGGGGAGCAAACAGG